Long non-coding RNA from Ruditapes philippinarum (Manila clam), 1427 nucleotides. RefSeq lists it as uncharacterized. NCBI's taxonomy places the organism in Eukaryota, Metazoa, Mollusca, Bivalvia, Venerida, Veneridae. The transcript has 3 exons. The record is from RefSeq and is a predicted model, not a curated record.
CUUGUUUUUAAUCAGUCACUGGAAAAUAUAUAUGGGUUUUUCAAGUCUCUUAGUUUAAGCAUCACCAUAUUAUUAAUUCCAUGCUCAGCGCAAAACGUAAAAAAAGAGUCAAUUAUACAAUCUCGUUUUACUGUUAAAUAUGUCUAACUAAUUUGCAUGUAGAUUUUAUUUUUGAGUGAUCAAGAUCAGUUUUUGUCUUUCUUAUUGUUAAUACGCAAUCUGAUCCAUACCCACGGCUUUUUAUGAUUAGAUCAGUUAGCUAUCAUUAUCAGUAAAAAAAACUGUCGAAUAGAUUAACGUAUAUGCGUAAAAAGGUAAAAUGUCGUAAAAAAGCGACUUAAUUCUCUCGGACUUAACAUCUGUUGUUAGUUUAUUGUUUUGAACAGCAUGGCUCCCAGCCGCGCGAUUAGACGAUAAGAUCUUGCAGGGAACUGCAGCAUACCGAGCGCCCCCUAUCAGCCGACAACAGAACAAGAUUAAUAGGAAACGAAAUUUUUUUGCCAUUUCAGAAAAAAGAUAUCUUACCAUACAAACAGUUUUCUUUCUUUUGGAUAUAACUAAUGAUAGAAACAAACUAACUUACAUCAGAUUUUGUCAUUGCAGCUGCAAAAUAAGGAACUUUAUACAAUACUAUAGUAUAGCUAGGAAUAACAUUUCGUUUGCAUUAAUUCUAUGCAUAGGAAAAAGGCGGUUAUUUUGGAAGAUGAAAACUUGUGGUGUUACACAAAAAUAUGGAUAAAAAACAAUAUCAAGGCAUCUAGACUACUGAUAGACGUUAUCUCGCAGAAAACUGAAAAGAGCAGCAAAGAAAGGACAGAACGUAAAAAUCAGCAACUCUGAUGAGAUGGUAAAAAGCAGAUGAACGGGAGAUAAUAAAAUGCAGAUGGACGGCUUCUUUGAUCGUGAAGAGUUUGCUAUUAGUUAUGGGACGAGGGCAUUCCAAGGAAAUGACAUAUAUGAAUCUUUGAAGCAGUAUGCCAUUCAUUGCCUCAGUAUAAAAAUUCAACAUUUAAUGAUUAUAGGAAUGAAAAAGGUGUAGCUCCAGACAAACACUACUGAAAAGGAAGGCAAAGAUGUUUUCAGACUGACAUAAAGCCCUAGUUUCUAAAACUAGAAAUAUUUCCUAACAGCAAGCACGAAUAUUUCCAGAAUUAUUACCCUUUACUUGUUUACCUGACAUUAUCUGUUUUAUUUGCAGGGAUAUUUAUGAAAUGAGCUAUGCACGUACAUCAUGAGUUUUCAAUGUUAUGAUGUGGUGGCAUAGAUUUGUUCACAAAUUUUAAUCUUGUUGUAUGUUCUUGAUUAAUCUAGUCAGCUUUUGUUUGUAAAAAUAAAAGAAAAAUAAAUAAAAUUUAUCAAGAUAUGUUAUUAUUAUUAUUAUUAUUUUCAUAUUUUUCUCCGGAAUUGACACCAUCAUUGGAACCUGC